RNAcentral lists this ribosomal RNA (165 nucleotides) under Thyridariaceae sp. RNAcentral's name for it is "partial large subunit ribosomal RNA". It matches the Rfam family "Eukaryotic large subunit ribosomal RNA", at positions 99 to 261 of the family's 3401-position model. Lineage: Eukaryota; Fungi; Ascomycota; Dothideomycetes; Pleosporales; Thyridariaceae. The record is from RNAcentral.
CGGCAACAGCUCAAAUUUGAAAUCUGGCCCUUUCAGGGUCCGAGUUGUAAUUUGCAGAGGGUGCUUUGGCGUUGGCCGUGGUCUAAGUUCCUUGGAACAGGACGUCACAGAGGGUGAGAAUCCCGUACGUGGCCGCCGGUCUUCGCCGUGUAAAGCCCCUUCGAC